CCUACGGGGGGCAGCAGUAGGGAAUCUUCCACAAUGGGCGAAAGCCUGAUGGAGCAACGCCGCGUGGGUGAAGAAGGUCUUCGGAUCGUAAAACCCUGUUGUUAGAGAAGAAAGUGCGUGAGAGUAACUGUUCACGUUUCGACGUUAUCUAACCAGAAAGCCACGGCUAACUACGUGCCAGCAGCCGCGGGAAUACGUAGGUGGCAAGCGUUAUCCGGAUUUAUUGGGCGUAAAGGGAACGCAGGCGGUCUUUUAAGUCUGAUGUGAAAGCCUUCGGCUUAACCGGAGUAGUGCAUUGGAAACGGGGAGACUAGAGUGCAGGAGAGGAGAGUGGAACUCCAUGUGUAGCGGUGAAAUGCGUAGAUAUAUGGAAGAACACCAGUGGCGAAGGCGGCUCUCUGGUCUGUAACUGACGCUGAGGUUCGAAAGCGUGGGUAGCAAACAGGAUGAGAUACCCUUGUAGUC
Molecule: ribosomal RNA, 465 nt
Filed under: uncultured bacterium
Lineage: Bacteria
Description: partial 16S ribosomal RNA
Rfam family: Bacterial small subunit ribosomal RNA
Source: RNAcentral